This 234-nucleotide unclassified non-coding RNA is filed under the name Hevea brasiliensis (rubber tree). Lineage: Eukaryota; Viridiplantae; Streptophyta; Magnoliopsida; Malpighiales; Euphorbiaceae. The record is from RNAcentral.
GAGACCUUGAUGCCGGUCGGGCCGAGAAUCACCACGAACAGCACGGGCAAGAAGAACACGAUCAUCGGCACGGUCAGCUUCGGCGGCAACGCGGCCGCCUUCUUCUCGGCCUCGUUCANNNNGCCAUCACGCGCAGCGUCUGUCCCAGCGGCGUGCCGUAGCGCUCCGACUGUUGCAGGGCCAGACAGACCGAUUUGACGCCUUCGGUUCCAGUCCGCUUGGCGAGAUUCUCGU